RNAcentral lists this ribosomal RNA (234 nucleotides) under uncultured bacterium. RNAcentral describes it as "partial 16S ribosomal RNA". It matches the Rfam family "Bacterial small subunit ribosomal RNA", at positions 1258 to 1500 of the family's 1533-position model. The record is from RNAcentral.
CGACAGGGCGCGGAACCCGAAAACCUGUCUCAGUUCGGAUUGGAGUCUGCAACCCGACUCCAUGAAGCUGGAUUCGCUAGUAAUCGCGCAUCAGCCACGGCGCGGUGAAUACGUUCCCGGGCCUUGCACACACCGCCCGUCAAGCCAUGGAAGCCGGGAGUGCCUGAAGUGCGUGACCGCAAGGAGCGUCCUAAGGCAAUACCGGUGACUGGGGCUAAGUCGUAACAAGGUAAC